GAUGAACGCUGGCGGCGUGCCUAAUACAUGCAAGUCGAGCGAACGGACGAGAAGCUUGCUUCUCUGAUGUUAGCGGCGGACGGGUGAGUAACACGUGGAUAACCUACCUAUAAGACUGGGAUAACUUCGGGAAACCGGAGCUAAUACCGGAUGAUAUUUUGAACCGCAUGGUUCAAAAGUGAAAGACGGUCUUGCUGUCACUUAUAGAUGGAUCCGCGCUGCAUUAGCUAGUUGGUAAGGUAACGGAUUACCAAGGCAACGAUGCAUAGCCGACCUGAGAGGGGGAUCGGCCACACUGGAACUGAGACACGGUCCAGACUCCUACGGGAGGCAGCAGUAGGGAAUCUUCCGCAAUGGGCGAAAGCCUGACGGAGCAACGCCGCGUGAGUGAUGAAGGUCUUCGGAUCGUAAAACUCUGUUAUUAGGGAAGAAAAUAUGUGUAAGUAACUGUGCACAUCUUGACGGUACCUAAUCAGAAAGCCACGGCUAACUACGU
This 496-nucleotide ribosomal RNA is filed under the name uncultured bacterium. RNAcentral describes it as "partial 16S ribosomal RNA". It matches the Rfam family "Bacterial small subunit ribosomal RNA", at positions 28 to 506 of the family's 1533-position model. The record is from RNAcentral.